This 377-nucleotide ribosomal RNA is filed under the name uncultured bacterium. Its description in RNAcentral is "bacterial SSU rRNA". It matches the Rfam family "Bacterial small subunit ribosomal RNA", at positions 521 to 896 of the family's 1533-position model. The record is from RNAcentral.
UAAGACGAACCUGACGAACGUUAUUCGGAAUCACUGGGCUUAAAGGGUGCGUAGGCUGUGCAGAAAGUUGGGUGUGAAAUCCCUCGGCUUAACCGAGGAACUGCGCCCAAAACUACUGUGCUCGAGUGAGAUAGAGGUGAGCGGAACUUAGGGUGGAGCGGUGAAAUGCGUUGAUAUCCUAAGGAACACCGGUGGCGAAAGCGGCUCACUGGGUCUCAACUGACGCUGAUGCACGAAAGCUAGGGGAGCGAACGGGAUUAGAUACCCCGGUAGUCCUAGCCGUAAACGAUGAGCACUGGGUUGGAGGGUCCUCCAUAGCCCUCCAGCCGUAGCGAAAGUGUUAAGUGCUCCGCCUGGGGAGUAUGGUCGCAAGGCUG